RNAcentral lists this long non-coding RNA (288 nucleotides) under Elaeis guineensis (African oil palm). Its description in RNAcentral is "long non-coding RNA (EGUI_LNC028908)". The record is from RNAcentral. Lineage: Eukaryota; Viridiplantae; Streptophyta; Magnoliopsida; Arecales; Arecaceae.
AACAUCUCACUAUCUCUUCCCACACACCUGGCUCUCUCCUUUUUCAUACUUCUCGCUUGUCAACGAGAAACCAUGGUCCUUUUAAAUAGCGCAUAAUGUAGGUGCGAUAUUAUUUGAUUCUUAUCUAAACUUAAAAAUCAAAAUCCAUUAUAAUACAAAUUCUAAAAGAAAUAAUUAAGCAGAAUAAAACUCAAAAUAGAGUCAUAGUAGAAGUAAGGUAAGCAAUGGACUUUUAAUACUCUUCCAUAUUGUAAAAUCCAUGCCAGUGGUAUUGAACUUAUCAAUGUC